UUCCAGGGGCGGGAAUCGAACCCACAACCUUCCGCUUACCGGGCAGAUGCCAUGUCCACUAGGCUACCCUGGA
Molecule: non-coding RNA, 73 nt
Organism: Cordylochernes scorpioides
Lineage: Eukaryota; Metazoa; Arthropoda; Arachnida; Pseudoscorpiones; Chernetidae
Source: the annotation of a GenBank genome assembly